AAAUAUUUUGUCAAAAGGCCGGAAGUGUCGUGUAAAUCAAAUAAUAAUAUUUUACGUUAUUUGCCUCUUUGAACGAUACGAUUUUCGAGAUUUAAUAUCGCGUGUAUUUUGUAAUAUUUAUCUGGUGGCGAAAAUGCUUUGAAUAAAUAGUGAAUAAAAAAAGUACGAGAGUGUAUCGGGAGUGCCGAGCGAAAAAUAUAACGGGCGAUCGUUAAAAGUAAUAAAUAGUGUAUCGUGAUUAUCAUAUCCAUCUGUAUGAACACUCGAAGCAAGAAAGGAGCAAGAAGGAGCAAAGAAGCGGAAAGGAGCAAUGAAGCAGAAAAUAACAACAGCAAUGGCGUAUCAUGUUACGGUGCAACAUCAGCUGAUACAUUUUGUGGCGUUCAUUCACGGAUCGACGAUUCGAGAGAGAGGAUAAUGCGACUAGGCUCGUGUAUUUCGAUUAACUUUGCACGUGCUUGCAUCGUAAAAUUACGUCCGUGAUGGUCAAGAGAAGAAGCCGCUCGAUGCAACAGAUGCAUGUUUACGAUGCAUGAUUCGUCGCAGUUUAUCGGACCGCAUCAUCACGUUUGAGAAAAUAUUGGAUAAAAAUAUCGAAAAGUUGGAGGCCGCAAUAUGUAAAGACCCUACAUGAGAAAAGUAACCUUGAUGUCUGUGUCUUCCAUCUUUAACGCUGGGAUGAGGAUAGUCGAGAAACCUAAAGUUGAACCAAAGGUAAGCAGGAGUAAAUUUUUGGCACCGACUGCACAACAUUGUGGUACUGCUUGCCGAAGUUUGGAAAUGUACGCCACUUCGACCGGCAUCUUGUCAUCAUUCCUAAAGUACACAUAACAAAAGGAUGUGAAGCCCCAAUCAAUCUGCUGGCCUUCGCUGUAACUCUCAAGUUGCAAAAAAUCGACAGUUCCAUUCAAUUUAGCUGCUACUACUCUACUACCGACGAGUUUAACGGCAGAAAUUCCAAGGCCCGACCCAUCAUCGAAGAGACACUGCGAAUUAAGAAGGAAAAUGCGGGAGAUAGCUUUGCCUGAUACAUCGCCGAGGCUGGUGAGUAAAGUCCCAUCGAUUGCGCAGUUUCCAUUUCUCCUCUGGAAGGCGGCGAACCGCUCUCAUAAUCCG
Molecule: long non-coding RNA, 1116 nt
Organism: Camponotus floridanus (Florida carpenter ant)
Lineage: Eukaryota; Metazoa; Arthropoda; Insecta; Hymenoptera; Formicidae
Exons: 5
Source: RefSeq, a predicted model, not a curated record